GACGAACGCUGGCGGCGUGCCUAAUACAUGCAAGUAGAACGCUGAAGGAGGAGCUUGCUUCUCUGGAUGAGUUGCGAACGGGUGAGUAACGCGUAGGUAACCUGCCUGUUAGCGGGGGAUAACUAUUGGAAACGAUAGCUAAUACCGCAUAAUAGUAGAUGUUGCAUGACAUUUGCUUAAAAGGUGCAAUUGCAUCACUACCAGAUGGACCUGCGUUGUAUUAGCUAGUUGGUGGGGUAACGGCUCACCAAGGCGACGAUACAUAGCCGACCUGAGAGGGUGAUCGGCAACACUGGGACUGGGACACGGCCCAGAAUACUACGGGAGGCAGCAGUAGGGAAUUCUCGGGAAUGGACGGAAGGCUGAACGAGCAACGCCGCGUGAGUGAAGAAGGUUUUCGGAUCGUAAAGCUCUGUUGUAAGAGAAGGACGAGUGUGAGAGUGGAAAGUUCACACUGUGACGGUAUCUUACCAGAAAGGGACGGCUAACUACGUG
RNAcentral lists this ribosomal RNA (495 nucleotides) under uncultured bacterium. RNAcentral's name for it is "partial 16S ribosomal RNA". It matches the Rfam family "Bacterial small subunit ribosomal RNA", at positions 28 to 507 of the family's 1533-position model. The record is from RNAcentral.